This is a long non-coding RNA of Scleropages formosus (Asian bonytongue), 579 nucleotides long. RefSeq lists it as uncharacterized. The record is from RefSeq and is a predicted model, not a curated record. Lineage: Eukaryota; Metazoa; Chordata; Actinopteri; Osteoglossiformes; Osteoglossidae. The transcript is spliced from 4 exons.
CCAAGCAGGUGGAGCUGUAGAAGUUCAAAAGGAGUUCAAGUAGAAAAGAUAAAGAAAGCGAAAGUAAAACGCUUUUUAUGUACGCCACGGAUUCCGAUAUUUAUGCUAAAAGGUGUAUUGAUGUAUAAGUAAAUGUAUUUUCUGCACAAGAAUGUAAUCUCGAUAUUUUUCAGUUUAACAAAGACUUUGCGACACGUGGUUGAACCAAUUCCGAAUAGACGAAAAUCCACGCGUCGCAGUUUCAGACCCUGGACUCACCUGAUCAGUUCCUGUCCCAAGUCCUGAGAUGGCAGAUCCUCCAUCAGAAGUGAGUCCCUCUGGGGACUGUAAGGAGGGUGAUGGUGACUCAGAAAUGAGUUUGAAAAGCAUGCAACAGAAGAGAUCAGCGUCACCUGUACCCAGCUGGACAUCCUUGAAGAGUCACUGGUCAAUAGAUGAACCACUUAGGUUUAAGGAUGGUCAGUUUCUUACAGAGCAAAGUGUUCAACAGGAGAGAUCAGCGUCACCUGUACCCAGAUGGACAUCCAUGAAGAGUCACUGGUCAAUAGAUGAACCAGUUGGGUUUAAGGAUGGUCACUU